This 713-nucleotide ribosomal RNA is filed under the name uncultured bacterium. RNAcentral's name for it is "bacterial SSU rRNA". It matches the Rfam family "Bacterial small subunit ribosomal RNA", at positions 28 to 732 of the family's 1533-position model. The record is from RNAcentral.
AUUGAACGCUGGCGGCAGGCCUAACACAUGCAAGUCGAGCGGUAGCACAGAGAGCUUGCUCUCGGGUGACGAGCGGCGGACGGGUGAGUAAUGUCUGGGAAACUGCCUGAUGGAGGGGGAUAACUACUGGAAACGGUAGCUAAUACCGCAUAACGUCGCAAGACCAAAGUGGGGGACCUUCGGGCCUCAUGCCAUCAGAUGUGCCCAGAUGGGAUUAGCUUGUAGGUGGGGUAACGGCUCACCUAGGCGACGAUCCCUAGCUGGUCUGAGAGGAUGACCAGCCACACUGGAACUGAGACACGGUCCAGACUCCUACGGGAGGCAGCAGUGGGGAAUAUUGCACAAUGGGCGCAAGCCUGAUGCAGCCAUGCCGCGUGUAUGAAGAAGGCCUUCGGGUUGUAAAGUACUUUCAGCGAGGAGGAAGGCGAUAAGGUUAAUAACCUUGUCGAUUGACGUUACUCGCAGAAGAAGCACCGGCUAACUCCGUGCCAGCAGCCGCGGUAAUACGGAGGGUGCAAGCGUUAAUCGGAAUUACUGGGCGUAAAGCGCACGCAGGCGGUCUGUCAAGUCGGAUGUGAAAUCCCCGGGCUCAACCUGGGAACUGCAUCCGAAACUGGCAGGCUAGAGUCUUGUAGAGGGGGGUAGAAUUCCAGGUGUAGCGGUAAAAUGCGUAGAGAUCUGGAGGAAUACCGGUGGCGAAGGCGGCCCCCUGG